This 482-nucleotide ribosomal RNA is filed under the name uncultured bacterium. RNAcentral describes it as "partial 16S ribosomal RNA". It matches the Rfam family "Bacterial small subunit ribosomal RNA", at positions 30 to 507 of the family's 1533-position model. The record is from RNAcentral.
AUUGAACGCUGGCGGCAUGCUUUACACAUGCAAGUCGAACGGUAACAGGCCGCAAGGUGCUGACGAGUGGCGAACGGGGGCGUAAUGCAUCGGAACGUGCCCAGUCGUGGGGGAUAACUACUCGAAAGAGUAGCUAAUACCGCAUACGAUCUAUGAAUGAAAGCGGGGGACCGUAAGGCCUCGCGCGAUUGGAGCGGCCGAUGUCAGAUUAGGUAGUUGGUGGGGUAAAGGCUCACCAAGCCAACGAUCUGUAGCUGGUCUGAGAGGACAACCAGCCACACUGGGACUGAGACACGGCCCAGACUCCUACGGGAGGCAGCAGUGGGGAAUUUUGGACAAUGGGCGCAAGCCUGAUCCAGCAAUGCCGCGUGCAGGAAGAAGGCCUUCGGGUUGUAAACUGCUUUUGUACGGAACGAAACGGCUCUGGUUAAUACCCGGGGCUAAUGACGGUACCGUAAGAAUAAGCACCGGCUAACUACGUG